GAUGAACGCUAGCGGCAGGCCUAACACAUGCAAGUCGAGGGAGAAGCCCUUUCGGGGGCAGAAACCGGCGCACGGGUGCGUAACGCGUAUGCAACCUACCUUUCACAGUGGGAUAGCCCGAAGAAAUUUGGAUUAAUACCCCAUAAUAUUAUUGGAUGGCAUCAUUUGAUAAUUAAAACUGCGGUGGUGAAAGAUGGGCAUGCGUCCUAUUAGCUAGUUGGAGUGGUAACGGCACCCCAAGGCUACGAUAGGUAGGGGUCCUGAGAGGGAGAUCCCCCACACUGGUACUGAGACAGGGACCAGACUCCUACGGGAGGCAGCAGUGAGGAAUACUGGUCAAUGGUCGGAAGACUGAACCAGCCAUGCCGCGUGCAGGAAGAAUGCCUUAUGGGUUGUAAACUGCUUUUAUAUGGGAAGAAUAAGGCGUACGUGUACGUUGAUGACGGUACCAUAUGAAUAAGCAUCGGCUAACUCCGUG
Molecule: ribosomal RNA, 478 nt
Filed under: uncultured bacterium
Lineage: Bacteria
Description: partial 16S ribosomal RNA
Rfam family: Bacterial small subunit ribosomal RNA
Source: RNAcentral